This 274-nucleotide ribosomal RNA is filed under the name uncultured bacterium. RNAcentral describes it as "partial 16S ribosomal RNA". It matches the Rfam family "Bacterial small subunit ribosomal RNA", at positions 523 to 796 of the family's 1533-position model. The record is from RNAcentral.
AUACGGAGGGUGCAAGCGUUACUCGGAAUCACUGGGCGUAAAGCGCGCGCAGGCGGGCUGAUAAGUUGGAUGUGAAAGCCUACGGCUCAACCGUAGAACUGCAUCCAAAACUGUCAGUCUAGAGUGUGGGAGAGGAAGAUGGAAUUAGUUGUGUAGGGGUAAAAUCCGUAGAGAUAACUAGGAAUACCAAAAGCGAAGGCAAUCUUCUGGAACACUACUGACGCUGAGGCGCGAAGGCGUGGGGAGCGAACAGGAUUAGAAACCCCGGUAGUCC